AUGAAGACUAAGAGAGAGGGGAAAGGAGGCAGGGAUAACCACGAGGAGGUUCGUGCUUUCGGCACGACUGGAGAAGGCAGGAGCACAAUUAAUCGACGACGGCGGCUUACGGAUGGUGUCAGAGAAGACGACGUCGCGUGCUCUGUGCAGGGCGUCGCAACUCGAUUCGUUCGGCGUGGAGGAUCAAGAGGGCGUGGAGGCUCUCUCAGAUGCUACGGCUUGUCAGGGAUAAACCGCUGGCCAUGGCGCGUGGCGAAGAGGGAGUUCGAUGAUGAGCGGAGGGCGCACCAGAUUGAGGCAGCCCUUUCAGUUGAGCUGAGUCCUGGUAUCCUUGGAAACAUUUUUGAUGAAAUCCAGGUAAGUUCAGCAUGA
RNAcentral lists this ribosomal RNA (372 nucleotides) under Triticum aestivum (bread wheat). RNAcentral's name for it is "partial small subunit ribosomal RNA". Lineage: Eukaryota; Viridiplantae; Streptophyta; Magnoliopsida; Poales; Poaceae. The record is from RNAcentral.